AGGGAUGUAGCUCAGUGGUAGAGCAUCUGCUUUCAAUGGAGAAGGUCCCAGGUUCAGUCCCUGGCAUCUCCA
This is a non-coding RNA of Podarcis lilfordi (Lilford's wall lizard), 72 nucleotides long. The record is from the annotation of a GenBank genome assembly. NCBI's taxonomy places the organism in Eukaryota, Metazoa, Chordata, Lepidosauria, Squamata, Lacertidae.